AGGGUCUGGGUCUACAGGCUGGACAGUUGUUGGCGGAAGUGGCUCUGAUGCGGCUAGUUAGCCGCGGUAGCUGCUGAUAAUCAUGGUGCUAUCGGCUACCGGCGAAAAUAAGGGAGGAAACUGGGAGUGUUUAGGGCCACCUGCUGACGACUUGAAAGCCACCUUUAACAGAUGAAACACACCUGUGGAAUGAAGUCACAGAGGUAUGACGUGACCUUCAUGGCCAUGGACAGAAGCUUGUGGUCCUUUUGUGGGCAAUAAUCAUAAGAAGCUCAGGUACCCUGAUUUACCUCUGCACACAGAUCACACUACAGCUUCUGCUUUUGCUUCAUCAGCUUUAUUUAGCUCAAGAAUACAUACAGGAUGAAGAGUAAAAAGAAAAGAAAACAGUAUACAACCCCUCUCCCUCUGUGUAAAUCAUCGGGGGGAAAUAAUGAACAGAUCCUGCGUGACAGUAACAGGCCAAACAAUGUUUUUCACUGGGUGAGAAAAAGGCACAGACAGCUCUGGAAGAGGUAACACGUUUGAGAUAAAAUGGCAGUUUUACAGGGGGCAGGGAGUAGCACACAGACAGUUUGUAGUUUUUCAGAUAACGUGUGGAAAAGGAGAAGAUGAUUGUGGCCAAAUGAAAACAAUCCUCAACAUCAAAAUCACAAUAUUUCAUCAAACACUGCAACUGAAGGAUGCAAGCCUACUUUAAACUCAUUUAAUUUGAGGUAAAAUUUGUUAAAGUCAUAAAAUUUGAUCUUAAGGACAAAAAACAAAACUAAAUUCUAGUGUUUCAUCACAUUUUUACCAGCAUAUAAACAAGCUUACUCUACUGAUGCUUUAACUAACAAUAAUGGCAAGAUAAAUCGAUUAUAGAAAUAUAUAUAUGUUUAUAUAUAUAUAUAUAUAUUCAAAACCACAAUAAAAAAGGACAAAGCAAUACCCAUCAAACUUUUUUUUUAUUUUUUUUUUUUGCCGUUUGACCACACCCUCAGCAGGUUACCCACGGCUACGGGGACACGUCUGAAAGCCAAUUGAUCACCUCACAUUAGCUUAUAGAGAGUGUAAGAGAAGAUGAAGGGCACCCACCGGGCCCCUCGGGAUUAAAGAUUAGACAUGAAGAACAAUCUGCGACGAAGGGCGACUCAGGAUCUGAAGAGAACGCUGAAAUAAAACUAUCAGAACUUUCUAGUAAUUGCAUCAUUUAAAAAAAAAGAAAAAAAAAUGUUUACAAGUGUAUAAAAAACACAAAAA
This is a long non-coding RNA of Oreochromis niloticus (Nile tilapia), 1242 nucleotides long. RefSeq lists it as uncharacterized. Lineage: Eukaryota; Metazoa; Chordata; Actinopteri; Cichliformes; Cichlidae. The transcript has 3 exons. The record is from RefSeq and is a predicted model, not a curated record.